ACGCUGUAGACGAAGGAUUAAUGGAAGGUUUACAAAUUUAAAUUUAAUUUCGAAUUUCGUUGACUACAACAACUGAACUAGAUUGCACACCUAGGACAGCUAACACAUACAGUUUGAAUGGAACAGUUUGGACUGAAUUAAGAGCACAAAUGUCACUUAAUAUGUAAGGUUUGUUUACAACAAACUAAUGUUUGAUGAAUGUCGCUGUCCAGCGAAUGUUUGUCACUGAUGCUCGAGACCCGAAACAAAACAUGUCACUCAAAAGUAAUCAGGAUAAACUCCUCACUAGCCUGCAGUGAUGGCUUUCAGACUGCUGGUCCUCUUCAUGAUGUUUGGUACGAACAGCAGUCCAGAUGCUCUCUCGAUGCUCUCGAUGGGAACCAGGAAGCGUUCCAGUGGAAUCUUCUCAUCGACCGGCAUAUUGGGCAUCACAUAGGACCGCAGCUCCACGUCUCCUCUUGUCUUUUCAAGAAUCACAACCUUAAAAAACUAAAAGCCUUUUUAAAUGGGUAACAGCUUGUCAAGCAUCAGUACGGCAUCAUCAUCAAAACACUAGAAGUCAGCAAGCCUCCACCUGCCCUGCUGACUUCACUGCUUGAUUCAAGAAGAUAGUUUAAGGAGCCGCCACAUGAUCAGAAUAUAGAGCACCAUUACAGCCAUCAGUCAUGAGUGGAAUUACAGUGGAGCGUGAUUCCCCGUAUGCACUACUUUGCUCAAGGACCCCUGUGUGGUAUGAGAGAGCAAAGAAACUGGAAGGAUUUUACUAAGAAGAAGGUCUCUUACCUGGCUGGUCAGCUGCAGUGGGUACAACUGUGAGUGUUGGACUAGAUGGAGAUGGCACCGUAGUUAAAGACGAGGUGUCUGUCUGGCUUGAGAUGGUAGCAGCUGGCAUUGUGGGCAGAAAGCUCGUCACAAGUAGCACUUGGGACAGUAAAAUUACAGCGCUGAGUCGAGAGCCGAGAGAGUAAGUAAAGAGGGCCAGCUACCUCCUACUGUUAACACUUCUAUUUUUAAAUUUAGCUUUAGAAAAAACUCGUGCUUAUGCAAAAGAAUACAAAGUCUGUAAAAAUUACAAGUGAGUACAUCUAGUUGUAUAAUAUAGAAGUUUAAUCACUCAGAGCUGUUUCUAGUUUGUCUGUAUUGCAGUAAAUAUGUGAAGAAAAUGACGGAUUUUAUC
Molecule: long non-coding RNA, 1177 nt
Organism: Carassius carassius (crucian carp)
Lineage: Eukaryota; Metazoa; Chordata; Actinopteri; Cypriniformes; Cyprinidae
Exons: 5
Source: RefSeq, a predicted model, not a curated record